GGGGCUGCAAUGGUUUCGACGGAGGUUGUGAACCUUGGUAAGCGAGUAGCGGCGCGGAAACGCUUGAAACUCCGCAAACUUUAAAAUUAAACGACAACAAUACUGUUGCGUACGCAGCCUAAUUAGGCUGCCGUCUUUACCGGGAGCACCGCGGCCCGGAUAAAGGCGUCGAUGAGCGGUGAACGUGAACAGGGGAACGCCUUUACCCUUGUCAUGACCAAAAGGCUACUGAAGUAGGAAGCCUGCCUUUGGGCGUCCUACAGAGGGAAUGUAAAAACACCGGCUACACUCGUAGAAAGCCAGGGCAAGUGAUUUUCGGACAGGAGUUCGAUUCUCCUCAGCUCCACCA
Molecule: transfer-messenger RNA, 349 nt
Filed under: Clostridiales bacterium
Lineage: Bacteria; Bacillati; Bacillota; Clostridia; Eubacteriales
Also listed under: 4 other names
Rfam family: transfer-messenger RNA
About the family: Bacterial tmRNA, also known as 10Sa RNA or SsrA, is named for its dual tRNA and mRNA-like properties.
Source: RNAcentral